GUGACAACUUAAAAACUUUCUUUAAACAUAUCACUCUGACACCAAUGUGUAAGAUGAAGUGGACAGGAAUGGAACUGUACUGGGAGGCUCUGACAGUUCGGGUGAGAAGAAAUGAAGGGUAAGUGUGAUGUCAAUAUUCCCUUUCCGUGUGACAAUAAAUGGUGGACGCAAAAGAGUGAACAUAUAAAUGGUCUGUGUGAGCAGCCUCAUAAUGAUAAUCAAAAUGGCUCGCUGCUGCGUAGCUGACCUCCUCCAUACAGGUGCGCUGUUAUAUUGACUUGAUGAGCAGACGGAUCGUGGCCUCUACUCCUUCCCUCGGCUCUCCAUGUUUGCCCACUACCUGGUCUUACUCUUUUCCCUUCCCAUUCCCAGUCUCUUUUAUCCAAAUUUAAACAGCAG
Molecule: long non-coding RNA, 399 nt
Filed under: Homo sapiens (human)
Lineage: Eukaryota; Metazoa; Chordata; Mammalia; Primates; Hominidae
Description: long non-coding RNA NONHSAT204264.1
Source: RNAcentral